UUGAUUUUGGUCGCCAACGAGUGGCGGACGGGUGAGUAACACGUAGGUAACCUGCCCAGAAGCGGGGGACAACAUUUGGAAACAGAUGCUAAUACCGCAUAACAGCGUUGUUCGCAUGAACAACGCUUAAAAGAUGGCUUCUCGCUAUCACUUCUGGAUGGACCUGCGGUGCAUUAGCUUGUUGGUGGGGUAACGGCCUACCAAGGCGAUGAUGCAUAGCCGAGUUGAGAGACUGAUCGGCCACAAUGGGACUGAGACACGGCCCAUACUCCUACGGGAGGCAGCAGUAGGGAAUCUUCCACAAUGGGCGCAAGCCUGAUGGAGCAACACCGCGUGAGUGAAGAAGGGUUUCGGCUCGUAAAGCUCUGUUGUUAAAGAAGAACACGUAUGAGAGUAACUGUUCAUACGUUGACGGUAUUUAACCAGAAAGUCACGGCUAACUACGUGCCAGCAGCCGCGGUAAUACGUAGGUGGCAAGCGUUAUCCGGAUUUAUUGGGCGUAAAGAGAGUGCAGGCGGUUUUCUAAGUCUGAUGUGAAAGCCUUCGGCUUAACCGGAGAAGUGCAUCGGAAACUGGAUAACUUGAGUGCAGAAGAGGGUAGUGGAACUCCAUGUGUAGCGGUGGAAUGCGUAGAUAUAUGGAAGAACACCAGUGGCGAAGGCGGCUACCUGGUCUGCAACUGACGCUGAGACUCGAAAGCAUGGGUAGCGAACAGGAUUAGAUACCCUGGUAGUCCAUGCCGUAAACGAUGAGUGCUAGGUGUUGGAGGGUUUCCGCCCUUCAGUGCCGGAGCUAACGCAUUAAGCACUCCGCCUGGGGAGUACGACCGCAAGGUUGAAACUCAAAGGAAUUGACGGGGGCCCGCACAAGCGGUGGAGCAUGUGGUUUAAUUCGAAGCUACGCGAAGAACCUUACCAGGUCUUGACAUCUUGCGCCAACCCUAGAGAUAGGGCGUUUCCUUCGGGAACGCAAUGACAGGUGGUGCAUGGUCGUCGUCAGCUCGUGUCGUGAGAUGUUGGGUUAAGUCCCGCAACGAGCGCAACCCUUGUUACUAGUUGCCAGCAUUAAGUUGGGCACUCUAGUGAGACUGCCGGUGACAAACCGGAGGAAGGUGGGGACGACGUCAGAUCAUCAUGCCCCUUAUGACCUGGGCUACACACGUGCUACAAUGGACGGUACAACGAGUCGCGAACUCGCGAGGGCAAGCAAAUCUCUUAAAACCGUUCUCAGUUCGGACUGCAGGCUGCAACUCGCCUGCACGAAGUCGGAAUCGCUAGUAAUCGCGGAUCAGCAUGCCGCGGUGAAUACGUUCCCGGGCCUUGUACACACCGCCCGUCACACCAUGA
Molecule: ribosomal RNA, 1346 nt
Filed under: Limosilactobacillus fermentum
Lineage: Bacteria; Bacillati; Bacillota; Bacilli; Lactobacillales; Lactobacillaceae
Description: bacterial SSU rRNA
Rfam family: Bacterial small subunit ribosomal RNA
Source: RNAcentral